This 293-nucleotide ribosomal RNA is filed under the name uncultured bacterium. RNAcentral describes it as "partial 16S ribosomal RNA". It matches the Rfam family "Bacterial small subunit ribosomal RNA", at positions 505 to 797 of the family's 1533-position model. The record is from RNAcentral.
GUGCCAGCACCCGCGGUAAUACGUAGGUGGCAAGCGUUGUCCGGAUUUACUGGGCGUAAAGGAUGCGUAGGCGGAUAUUUAAGUGAGAUGUGAAAUCCCCGAGCUUAACUUGGGAGCUGCAUUUCAAACUGGAUAUCUAGAGUGCGGGAGAGGAGAAUGGAAUUCCUAGUGUAGCGGUGAAAUGCGUAGAGAUUAGGAAGAACACCAGUGGCGAAGGCGAUUCUCUGGACCGUAACUGACGCUGAGGCAUGAAAGCGUGGGUAGCAAACAGGAUUAGAUACCCCGGUAGUCCA